This 115-nucleotide ribosomal RNA is filed under the name uncultured bacterium. RNAcentral describes it as "partial 16S ribosomal RNA". It matches the Rfam family "Bacterial small subunit ribosomal RNA", at positions 393 to 525 of the family's 1533-position model. The record is from RNAcentral.
CAUGCCGCGUGCAGGAUGAAGGCCUUCGGGUUGUAAACUGCUUUUAUAUGAGAAGACUAUGACGGUAACAUAUGAAUAAGGACCGGCUAACUACGUGCCAGCAGCCGCGGUAAUA